This is a long non-coding RNA of Labeo rohita (rohu), 870 nucleotides long. RefSeq lists it as uncharacterized. The transcript is spliced from 4 exons. The record is from RefSeq and is a predicted model, not a curated record. Lineage: Eukaryota; Metazoa; Chordata; Actinopteri; Cypriniformes; Cyprinidae.
ACAACUGUAAACCCUUUUAUUCUUUUGUCAUUUACUUGAUUGCUCAAACAGUGAGAAUAAGUAAUCAUAGGAAAAGGAAAUCUAAAAGAAUAAAUCGUAUUUCCUUUUGCACCUAUCUACAGUGUAUCUUUUUGUGGAAAGCUGCCAGGGAGUAGGGUAGUCUCACUUACUUUAUUAGACCCGGGAAGGGAGGGGCAUAUCAGACAGUAUUCUCACAUAUGCAGUUUACUUCAGGAGGCUACCGUGUAAACCUGAAGCCUACCCUUGUCGAUCUUUAGUGUCACAACACAAUAAGGUGAGGAACCACAUACAUACAUAAGUGUGUAAAGAGACUAAAAAGCUUGGAGAACAGGGACUAAGAUCCUUUCGCUAUCCGAACUGCCAGGGCAGCCGUUAUUCAUUUUCCCCUACACAACGGGCUAAAACUCCCGUUACAUAAAGGUACAUCACUAAAUUAAUGAAAUCAGUUGUUAAUACUGAUGUUUGUGCUGUUGUUUUUCCUCCAAAAUUACACAUUACAAAAGAAUUAACAUUUUUUAAUUUGAAGGACCUGUACCUUCAACAAACAAGCUUUUCUUUAAAGUUUGUAAAUAAUGUAAACUGACUCCCUGUAAUAAAUUGUCUCUGCAAUUUCAGUGUCAACCACCACUGAACAAACUACUACAACAACCAUGAAAACCACUUCAACUGUAAUGUCCACUGCUAAAACAACAACAUACAGUAAAACAGUUUCAACAUCAACCACCACUGAACAAACUACUACAACAGCCAUGAAAACUGAUAUAUGGUUUAUAGUGCCAGUUUCCAUUGGUGUUACUAUAAUCUUGUCUGGACUCAUUGGACUCAUCUGUCUGUGCUGGUUUGCAAGUA